GUGCCAGCCGCCGCGGUAAUACGAAGGGAGCGAGCGUUGUUCGGAAUCACUGGGCUUAAAGCGUGCGUAGGCGGAUGUGUAAGUCAGGAGUGAAAUCCCAGGGCUUAACCCUGGAACUGCUCUUGAGACUGCAUGUCUGGAAUUCGGUAGAGGUUGGCGGAACUCCCAGUGUAGAGGUGAAAUUCGCAGAUAUUGGGAAGAACACCGGUGGCGAAGGCGGCCAACUGGACCGACAUUGACGCUGAGGCACGAAAGCGUGGGUAGCAAACAGGAUUAGAAACCCUUGUAGUCC
Molecule: ribosomal RNA, 292 nt
Filed under: uncultured bacterium
Lineage: Bacteria
Description: partial 16S ribosomal RNA
Rfam family: Bacterial small subunit ribosomal RNA
Source: RNAcentral